This is a long non-coding RNA of Hyaena hyaena (striped hyena), 1611 nucleotides long. RefSeq lists it as uncharacterized. The record is from RefSeq and is a predicted model, not a curated record. The transcript has 4 exons. Lineage: Eukaryota; Metazoa; Chordata; Mammalia; Carnivora; Hyaenidae.
GAAUUCCAGACAGUGGAGAAGUUCAGGGACAGUCGUGUGUACAAGGUGUUGUGGGGGAUCCCCCCUCAAGGGCACCAGCCUUGCCUGGGGAUGAGGGUAAUGCCUCGAACAGCAUGAGAAACCGCUAAGCUUUACUCUCUACCAAGCCUGAUUUUUGGAGAUGCUCCAAGGCGAAGUAUCCAUUUUUCUCACGCGAAGCAUAACAUUGCUCCUGUUACAACAUCUCCUCCUGUGAUGUGCUUGUUUCUGCUUGUGCAAGAAGCCCUAACAUCCUUGGGCAAGGGCAGCUCUGGAUAUGGCCCCUCUGCAGCCCCAGCAGACGAGGGCUCCGUCCCACAUAUUUCUCAGUAAGAUCCUCUUUUCUAUCCUCCGAGAAGCAGCGGAGGUCCUCAGCUAGCAAAAGACGAAGGACUGGAAGCAUUAAACAUUCAGGUGCCCCAUGACCCGCUGUGUGUUUCACUCACAAUGGCGGCUCCGUGCCAACACCGCGAGCAGACGGCGAGUCCCUACCUGCGACACAUGCCAUUCCUGCCCGGAUCCAAAUUCCCACCGGAGUCUGGCAAAGAGGAUUGAAAGGACGACCGAAGGAAGCGGCAGAGCCCUUUCCGGAGGCUCCACAAUUCAGGGCCUUUCAGCCAAAGGCCCAGCUCACUCAUCCCUUCCCAUGUCGGUGGGCCUCACUGGUGGAAGACCACUGUCGCUGAGGGCUGCAUGGGCCCUGGACUCAGAACCUUUCCCCACUCACGAUGAUGGGGCUGCGGGACCACACAAGGGGCUACCGUGCCCCCUAAAGCGCCACCCUCUGGGUAAUGACAGCAAUGGCUGUGGCCGCUUAGGAAAGUCCCUUGCAUGCCUGGCUUUUGGCCCUGUGGUUACCAUGAAGAGGCUAGAAUGGAGUCUCCGGGGUCCCCACUGGGGCCGAACCAUUGUCAAAGUCAAAGCCAAUUUUCAAAUAGAGUCAGCCCUCAACUAUUCAUAGACUAAACAGGUUUAAUCUGUACCUCCGCUUUCUCCUCGUCCUUCUUUUUGCCAGCAAUGUUUUCGCUCUUCUCCGUGAUAUGCCCACCGGCACAGGAAGCGGUGGAGGCCUUCGGAUUAGUCAGCACCCAGACCCAUUAGCGAUCCCAGUAAAGGGCUUAAGCAGCAGUUUGGGCAGAAUAUGGAUUUUGAAUAACCUUGCUGAGCUCAUCCCCGCUAAUCAUGGAGAAGAGACCAUGCCUUGAGUGCUUUGAGCCCUUCUGCUAAGUCUUGCUGGGAGAAGAAAUAGAAGGACUGAUCUCCACCCCCAGGGAGUGGGGUCCCAGGCUGAGGCUGGUCAGGAUGAGAGGGCAGGCCAUUCCCCAACCCCGCGCUGUCUCGCCUGGUAGACCCACGAUGCCAGUGUGCACGUACCCAGAACCUUCCAAGACCUGCCUCUUGUGGCAGACGGAGAAAAUGACUUUUGAAGUAAAUGAAGCACCCAGAGGUUUCCUCUCUCGAGUGGCUGUGGUUUAUAUUCCCCAACCAAAUAAGUCAGCAAAUAAAAUAUGGAAAGUGGUUUCAAAAAGUUGAAAUCACCUGAACUCACUUCCUGUAGAAGUUGUCAUGUCUUUCCUAGCAGACAAGAAGACU